GGGGUUGGUCUGAGAUGCAGCUAGUGGCGACGGGUGAGUAACACGUGGGCAAUCUGCCCUGCACUCUGGGACAAGCCCUGGAAACGGGGCAAAACCGGAUACUGAUCCUCGCAGGCAUCUGCGAGGUUCUAAAGCUCCGGCGGUGCAGGAUGAGCCCGCGGCCUAUCAGCUAGUUGGUGAGGUAACGGCUCACCAAGGCGACGACGGGUAGCCGGCCUGAGAGGGCGACCGGCCACACUGGGACUGAGACACGGCCCAGACUCCUACGGGAGGCAGCAGUGGGGAAUAUUGCACAAUGGGCGAAAGCCUGAUGCAGCGACGCCGCGUGAGGGAUGACGGCCUUCGGGUUGUAAACCUCUUUCAGCAGGGAAGAAGCGGAAGUGACGGUACCUGCAGAGGAAGCGCCCGGCUAACUACGUGCCAGCAGCCGCGGUAAUACGUAGGGCGCAAGCGUUGUCCGGAAUUAUUGGGCGUU
Molecule: ribosomal RNA, 475 nt
Filed under: Streptomyces enissocaesilis
Lineage: Bacteria; Bacillati; Actinomycetota; Actinomycetes; Kitasatosporales; Streptomycetaceae
Description: bacterial SSU rRNA
Rfam family: Bacterial small subunit ribosomal RNA
Source: RNAcentral